This 172-nucleotide ribosomal RNA is filed under the name Pycnochromis alleni. RNAcentral's name for it is "partial 12S rRNA". The record is from RNAcentral. Lineage: Eukaryota; Metazoa; Chordata; Actinopteri; Pomacentridae.
AACCGCGGUUAUACGAGAGGCUCAAGUUGACAGACAGCGGCGUAAAGAGUGGUUAAGGAAAACCCCCUAAACUAAAGCCGAACGCCUGCAGAACUGUUAUACGUUUAUGAAGGUAUGAAGCUCAACCACGAAAGUGGCUUUAUUCCCCCCUGACCCCACGAAAGCUGAGAAA